AACGAACGCUGGCGGCAUGCCUAACACAUGCAAGUCGAACGAGACCUUCGGGUCUAGUGGCGCACGGGUGCGUAACGCGUGGGAACCUGCCCUUAGGUUCGGAAUAACUCCCCGAAAGGGGUGCUAAUACCGGAUAAUGUCUUCGGACCAAAGAUUUAUCGCCUUUGGAUGGGCCCGCGUUGGAUUAGCUAGUUGGUAGGGUAAAAGCCUACCAAGGCGACGAUCCAUAGCUGGUCUGAGAGGAUGAUCAGCCACACUGGGACUGAGACACGGCCCAGACGCGUACGGGAGGGAGGAGUGGAGAAUAUAGAAGGAGAGCCGAAAGGCGGCGCCAGCAGGCGAGAUUGGUGGAGGAAGGAGUUAGGGUUGUACAUCGCAGAAGCGAGGAGUGAGAAUGACAUGAGGGAGAGGACGAGCACGGGCGAGCUCCGUGGCAGAGGCCGGGGUAAUAGAGGGAAGAGAACCCGUCUGACA
This 474-nucleotide ribosomal RNA is filed under the name uncultured bacterium. RNAcentral describes it as "partial 16S ribosomal RNA". The stretch from base 18 to 337 matches the Rfam family "Bacterial small subunit ribosomal RNA", at positions 45 to 393 of the family's 1533-position model. The record is from RNAcentral.